GACCUCUUCGACUAAAUGGUUAGGUCACGACCCUUUCAAGGUCGUAAUGUUGGGUUCGAGUCCCACAGAGGCCA
This 74-nucleotide transfer RNA is filed under the name Lachnospiraceae bacterium. Its description in RNAcentral is "tRNA-Glu". It matches the Rfam family "tRNA". Rfam says of the family: Transfer RNA (tRNA) molecules are approximately 80 nucleotides in length. The record is from RNAcentral. Lineage: Bacteria; Bacillati; Bacillota; Clostridia; Lachnospirales; Lachnospiraceae.